Molecule: long non-coding RNA, 233 nt
Filed under: Homo sapiens (human)
Lineage: Eukaryota; Metazoa; Chordata; Mammalia; Primates; Hominidae
Description: non-protein coding lnc-SPON1-6:1
Source: RNAcentral
UGUUUGUGGGUUUGUGCCAUCAGCUUUGGUGUGCAGUUGUGUGUGUGUGUUUAACUUAAAUGUUAACUAUUUGACAAUUUUAAGAUUAUUUUGAAAUAUCUAGUUUAGAUCAUUCUUGUCUUACAUGAAAUUUUUUCCAGAAAUGUUGGCAUAAUUCAUGAGAAAUCCUUGAAUUUAGGGAAUUGUUACCAUUAUAGCUUAUUUUGAAGUAUUCUGAGAAUAAAAUCUUAAAG